AACGAACGCUGGCGGCAUGCCUAACACAUGCAAGUCGAACGAGACCUUCGGGUCUAGGGGCGCACGGGUGCGUAACGCGUGGGAAACUGCCCUUAGGUUCGGAAUAACUCCCCGAAAGGGGUGCUAAUACCGGAUAAUGUCUUCGGACCAAAGAUUUAUCGCCCUUGGAUGGGCCCGCGUUGGAUUAGCUAGUUGGUAGGGUAAAAGCCUACCACGGGGACGAUCCAUAGCUGGUCUGAGAGGAUGAUCAGCCACACUGGGACUGAGACACGGCCCAGACUCCUACGGGACGGAGCAGUGGGGAAUACUGGAAAGGGGGCGAAAGCCUGAGCGCGCAAUGGCGCGUGAGUGAUGAAGGCAUUAGGGUUGUAAAGCUCUUUUACCCGGGAUGAUAAUGACAGUACCGGGAGAAUAAGCUCCGGCUAACUCCGUG
This 433-nucleotide ribosomal RNA is filed under the name uncultured bacterium. RNAcentral's name for it is "partial 16S ribosomal RNA". It matches the Rfam family "Bacterial small subunit ribosomal RNA", at positions 29 to 507 of the family's 1533-position model. The record is from RNAcentral.